UUUUGGUUUGGCCUGCCAGUAGUCAUACGCUCGUCUCAAAGAUUAAGCCAUGCAUGUGUAAGUAUAAAUAAUUUUACUUUGAAACUGCGAAUGGCUCAUUAUAUCAGUUAUAGUUUAUUAGAAAUAUUUUACUACUUGGAUAACCGUAGUAAUUCUAGGGCUAAUACAUGAGUAAAACCUCAACUUCGGAAGAGGUGUGUUUAUUAGUAUGAAAACCAUAUAUCUUCGGAUAUAAUAGUGAGUAAUAAUAACCUUUCAUAUCGUAUGUCGUAAGAUAACGAUAGUUCUUUCAAGUUUCUGCCCUAUCAGCUUUCGAUGGUAGUAUAUGGGACUACCAUGGCAGUAACGGGUAACGAAGAAUUUGGGUUCGAUUUCGGAGAGGGAGCCUGAGAGAUGGCUACCACAUCCAAGGAAGGCAGCAGGCGCGUAAAUUACCCAAUCCUGACAUAGGGAGGUAGUGACAAUAAAUCACAAUGCGGAACUUUUAGUUUUGCAAUUGGAUUGAGAACAAUGUACAAAUGUUAUCGAUAAACAAUUGGAGGGCAAGUCUGGUGCCAGCAGCCGCGGUAAUUCCAGCUCCAAUAGCGUAUAUUAACGUUGUUGCAGAAAAAAAAACC
This 617-nucleotide ribosomal RNA is filed under the name Blastocystis sp. Its description in RNAcentral is "SSU rRNA". It matches the Rfam family "Eukaryotic small subunit ribosomal RNA", at positions 1 to 629 of the family's 1831-position model. The record is from RNAcentral. Lineage: Eukaryota; Bigyra; Opalinata; Blastocystidae.